GGAUUAGGCAUGCAAGUCGAACGAGAAAGUUCUCUUCGGAGAGCAAGUAGAGUGGCGAACGGGUGAGUAAUGCAUGGAUAACCUACCUCUGAGAGGGGGAUAACGUUUCGAAAGGAACGCUAAUACCGCAUAACAUUCGAGGGCACAUGCCCUCGAAUCAAAGAUAGCCUCUGCAUGCAAGCUUUCACUCAGAGAGGGGUUCAUGUGCUAUUAGUUUGUUGGUGAGGUAACGGCUCACCAAGACUACGAUGGCUAGCCGGCCUGAGAGGGUGACCGGCCACACUGGGACUGAGACACUGCCCAGACUCCUACGGGAGGCUGCAGUCGAGAAUCUUCCGCAAUGCGCGCAAGCGUGACGGAGCGACGCCGCGUGGGUGAUGAAGGCCUUCGGGUUGUAAAGCCCUGUUGUCUGCUAAGAAUGCCAGGCGGUGAAUAGCUGUCCUGGUUGACGUCAGCAGAGGAGGAAGCACCGGCUAAAUACGUGCCAGCAGCCGCGGUAAUACGUAUGGUGCAAACGUUGUUCGGAAUCACUGGGCAUAAAGAGCACGUAGGCGGUCUGGUAAGUCUGACUGUGAAAUCCCUCGGCUCAACCGAGGAACUGCAUCGGAUACUGCCGGACUCGAGUACAGUAGGGGAGAGUGGAAUUCCAGGUGGAGCGGUGAAAUGCGUAGAUAUCUGGAGGAACGCCAGUGGCGAAAGCGACUCUCUGGGCUGUUACUGACGCUGAGGUGCGAAAGCCAGGGGAGCAAACGGGAUUAGAUACCCCGGUAGUCCUGGCCCUAAACGAUGGGCACUAAGUAGAGGGGUUUU
This 810-nucleotide ribosomal RNA is filed under the name uncultured Planctomycetota bacterium. RNAcentral's name for it is "bacterial SSU rRNA". It matches the Rfam family "Bacterial small subunit ribosomal RNA", at positions 46 to 832 of the family's 1533-position model. The record is from RNAcentral. Lineage: Bacteria; Pseudomonadati; Planctomycetota.